RNAcentral lists this ribosomal RNA (253 nucleotides) under uncultured bacterium. RNAcentral describes it as "partial 16S ribosomal RNA". It matches the Rfam family "Bacterial small subunit ribosomal RNA", at positions 524 to 776 of the family's 1533-position model. The record is from RNAcentral.
UACGACGGACCCGAGCGUUAUCCGGAUUUAUUGGGUUUAAAGGGUGCGUAGUCGGAAUAGUAAGUCAGUGGUGAAAGCCUGUUGCUUAACAACAGAACUGCCAUCGAUACUGCUAAUCUUGAGUACAUAUGAUGUGGGCGGAAUGUGCCAUGUAGCGGUGAAAUGCUUAGAUAUGGCACAGAACACCGAUUGCGAAGGCAGCUCACAAAACUGUAACUGACGCUGAGGCACGAAAGCGUGGGGAUCAAACAGG